GACGAACGCUGGCGGCGUGCUUAACACAUGCAAGUCGAACGAAGAGCGAUGGAAGCUUGCUUCUAUCAAUCUUAGUGGCGAACGGGUGAGUAACGCGUAAUCAACCUGCCCUUCAGAGGGGGACAACAGUUGGAAACGACUGCUAAUACCGCAUACGAUCUAAUCUCGGCAUCGAGGAUAGAUGAAAGGUGGCCUCUACAUGUAAGCUAUCACUGAAGGAGGGGAUUGCGUCUGAUUAGCUAGUUGGAGGGGUAACGGCCCACCAAGGCGAUGAUCAGUAGCCGGUCUGAGAGGAUGAACGGCCACAUUGGGACUGAGACACGGCCCAGACUCCUACGGGAGGCAGCAGUGGGGAAUCUUCCGCAAUGGACGAAAGUCUGACGGAGCAACGCCGCGGGAGUGAUGACGGCCUUCGGGUUGGAAAGCUCUGUUAAUCGGGACGAAAGGCCUUCUUGCGAAUAGGGAGAAGGAUUGACGGUACCGGAAGAGAAAGCCACGGCUAACUACGUG
Molecule: ribosomal RNA, 510 nt
Filed under: uncultured bacterium
Lineage: Bacteria
Description: partial 16S ribosomal RNA
Rfam family: Bacterial small subunit ribosomal RNA
Source: RNAcentral